AGCUGGCUGGAAAAUUGGGGGCGGCCAGUAGGAAUGCGUCAUAUUUGUAAGCGGAAAACCAAACCUUUAUCUUAUCUUGCGAAACGCGACUGACCGCCAUAUACAAAUAAUCUGAACAAAACAAAUAAACGGUUGGCGAUUUUGCUGUCACAAUGUUAUUCCCAUUGAUUAUUUUCGCGGCUUAUUUGCUAAUUAAUUAACAAUUUCUUGUGACAGCCGGAGACUUCAGAUUGCGAUCAGAAAUCCGCUUAUUAGCUGGUCACUGGUUUUAUAGUUAUCCAGAUACUCCCCACAAGCGGAUGAACCCGACACGUGGCACUUGGGAAUCAAUAGACUAGACCUUGGCUUGAUUGUUGUUUUCUUUCGAUCAAUUUUGCUUGGGUUCUGUUUUUUCCGGUCUUCUGGCGAAGCAAUUGAAUAACAUGACAGCCGAACCAGCGAAUUGGAUUACACGCUUAAAAUAAAUAUUACCGACCAGAGAGACGUAGACGUAGAAAAAUGGACAUACUGUGUUUUCAUAGAAGCCCAACAAUGAAAACCCAACGCCAAAAAUACGUUUAGCCUAAAAUGCCAGUCUGUAUUCCCCGGGAAAACAAAAUAAUAAUAGUAAGGUAAUAAAAUUAAAAACAAAAACUGGCACAGUACCCGCAGGAUUCAUGCACCCAG
Drosophila santomea is the source of this 666-nucleotide long non-coding RNA. RefSeq lists it as uncharacterized. Lineage: Eukaryota; Metazoa; Arthropoda; Insecta; Diptera; Drosophilidae. The transcript has 3 exons. The record is from RefSeq and is a predicted model, not a curated record.